This 331-nucleotide ribosomal RNA is filed under the name uncultured bacterium. RNAcentral describes it as "bacterial SSU rRNA". It matches the Rfam family "Bacterial small subunit ribosomal RNA", at positions 568 to 898 of the family's 1533-position model. The record is from RNAcentral.
CGCGCAGGCGGUAGGAGAAGUCAGGCGUGAAAGCCCCGGGCUCAACCUGGGAAUUGCGCUUGAUACUCUCCAACUGGAGUUCGGGAGAGGAGAGUGGAAUUCCCAGUGUAGAGGUGAAAUUCGUAGAUAUUGGGAAGAACACCGGUGGCGAAGGCGGCUCUCUGGACCGAGACUGACGCUGAGGCGCGAAAGCGUGGGGAGCAAACAGGAUUAGAUACCCUGGUAGUCCACGCUGUAAACGAUGUGUGCUAGACGUUGGGGAGCCUAGCUUCUCGGUGUCGCAGCUAACGCAUUAAGCACACCGCCUGGGGAGUACGGCCGCAAGGUUAAA